This 348-nucleotide unclassified non-coding RNA is filed under the name soil metagenome. RNAcentral describes it as "partial contains 5.8S ribosomal RNA, internal transcribed spacer 2, and large subunit ribosomal RNA". The stretch from base 1 to 120 matches the Rfam family "5.8S ribosomal RNA", at positions 35 to 154 of the family's 154-position model. The record is from RNAcentral.
GAUGAAGAACGUAGCGAAAUGCGAUAAGUAAUGUGAAUUGCAGAAUUCAGUGAAUCAUCGAGUCUUUGAACGCACAUUGCGCCUCCUGGUAUUCCGGGGGGCAUGCCUGUCCGAGCGUCAUUGCUGCCCUCAAGCACGGCUUGUGUGUUGGGCCCCCGCCCCCCGGCUUCGGGGGGCGGGCCCGAAAGGCAGCGGCGGCACCGCGUCCGGUCCUCGAGCGUAUGGGGCUUCGUCACCCGCUCUGUAGGCCCGGCCGGCGCCCGCCGGCGACCCCAAUCAAUCUUUCCAGGUUGACCUCGGAUCAGGUAGGGAUACCCGCUGAACUUAAGCAUAUCAAUAAGCGGAGGA